Non-coding RNA from Aedes albopictus (Asian tiger mosquito), 58 nucleotides. Lineage: Eukaryota; Metazoa; Arthropoda; Insecta; Diptera; Culicidae. The record is from Rfam.
UAGCCUAGUUGUUAAGGCUAUGGAUCUCCAAUCCAGAGACGGCGGGUUCGAUUCCCGU